Molecule: ribosomal RNA, 420 nt
Filed under: Fusobacteriota bacterium
Lineage: Bacteria; Fusobacteriati; Fusobacteriota
Description: Fusobacteria bacterium partial 16S ribosomal RNA
Rfam family: Bacterial small subunit ribosomal RNA
Source: RNAcentral
UGGGGGAUAUUGCACAAUGGGCGAAAGCCUGAUGCAGCGACGCCGCGUGGGGGAUGAAGGCCUUCGGGUUGUAAACUUCUUUUGCUCUGAACAAGGCAUGCCUUUGGGGUGUGUUGAGUGUAGGGGUUGAUUAGCGCCGGCUAACUACGUGCCAGCAGCCGCGGUAAUACGUAGGGCGCGAGCGUUGUCCGGAAUUAUUGGGCGUAAAGGGCUUGUAGGUGGCUGGUUGCGUCUGUCGUGAAAGCUCAUGGCUUAACUGUGGGUUUGCGGUGGGUACGGGCUGGCUUGAGUGCAGUAGGGGAGGCUGGAAUUCCUGGUGUAGCGGUGGAAUGCGCAGAUAUCAGGAGGAACACCGGUGGCGAAGGCGGGUCUCUGGGCCGUUACUGACACUGAGGAGCGAAAGCGUGGGGAGCGAACAGG